ACAGGAUGUUUAUUAGGUAGAAUACAGACUUACAGAGGACAGGGUGUUUAUUAGGUAGAAUACAGACUUACAGAGGACAGGGUGUUUAUUAGGUAGAAUACAGACUUACAGAGGACAGGGUGUUUAUUAGGUACCAGGUAUAAUACAGACAAACAGAGAACAGGGUGUUUAUUAGGUAGAAUACAGACUAACAGAGGACAGGGUGUUUAUUAGGUAGAAUACAGACUUACAGAGGACAGGGUGUUUAUUAGGUAGAAUACAGACUUACAGAGGACAGGAUGUUUAUUAGGUAGAAUACAGACUUACAGAGGACAGGGUGUUUAUUAGGUAGAAUACAGACUUACAGAGGACAGGGUGUUUAUUAGGUAGAAUACAGACUUACAGAGGACAGGGUGUUUAUUAGGUAGAAUACAGACUUACAGAGGACAGGGUGUUUAUUAGGUAGAAUACAGACUUACAGAGGACAGGGUGUUUAUUAGGUAGAAUACAGACUAACAGAGGACAGGGUGUUUAUUAGGUACCGGGUAUAAUACAGACUUACAGAGGACAGGGUGUUUAUUAGGUAGAAUACAGACUAACAGAGGACAGGGUGUUUAUUAGGUAGAAUACAGACUUACAGAGGACAGGGUGUUUAUUAGGUAGAAUACAGACU
This is a long non-coding RNA of Pecten maximus, 652 nucleotides long. RefSeq lists it as uncharacterized. NCBI's taxonomy places the organism in Eukaryota, Metazoa, Mollusca, Bivalvia, Pectinida, Pectinidae. The record is from RefSeq and is a predicted model, not a curated record. The transcript is spliced from 3 exons.